GACGAACGCUGGCGGUGUGCUUAACACAUGCAAGUCGAACGGAAAGGCCCUGCUUUUGUGGGGUGCUCGAGUGGCGAACGGGUGAGUAACACGUGAGUAACCUGCCCUUGACUUUGGGAUAACUUCAGGAAACUGGGGCUAAUACCGGAUAGGAGCUCCUGCUGCAUGGUGGGGGUUGGAAAGUUUCGGCGGUUGGGGAUGGACUCGCGGCUUAUCAGCUUGUUGGUGGGGUAGUGGCUUACCAAGGCUUUGACGGGUAGCCGGCCUGAGAGGGUGACCGGCCACAUUGGGACUGAGAUACGGCCCAGACUCCUACGGGAGGCAGCAGUGGGGAAUAUUGCACAAUGGGCGGAAGCCUGAUGCAGCAACGCCGCGUGCAGGAUGACGGCCUUCGGGUUGUAAACCGCUUUCGCCUGUGACGAAGCGUGAGUGACGGUAAUGGGUAAAGAAGCACCGGCUAACUACGUG
RNAcentral lists this ribosomal RNA (468 nucleotides) under uncultured bacterium. Its description in RNAcentral is "partial 16S ribosomal RNA". It matches the Rfam family "Bacterial small subunit ribosomal RNA", at positions 28 to 507 of the family's 1533-position model. The record is from RNAcentral.